AUUUAGAUAGCUUAAUUUAUAGAGCAUAACGUUGAAGGUGUUAAGGUGAUAUUUUUAUCUUUAGAUA
RNAcentral lists this transfer RNA (67 nucleotides) under Eledone cirrhosa (curled octopus). RNAcentral describes it as "tRNA-Phe". Lineage: Eukaryota; Metazoa; Mollusca; Cephalopoda; Octopoda; Eledonidae. The record is from RNAcentral.